GCUGUGCUGCUCCUCUCAGCCAGUGCGCCGCCGCGGCGCCCCCCCUCAGGGCAGCACGCCGCAGUGCCGCCCCUCUCACCCCUGGGUGCCGCCGUGCCGCCCUUUCACCCCUGCGCGCCGUCGCGCCGCCCUUCUCACCCCUGCGCGUCGCCCCCUCUAACCCUAGUGCGGCCACCCAUGGAUCCCCUACCGCCGCUUGUUUCCAGGACGCAGCAGACAACCACCCACCCGAGCUCAAACGGCCGGACGCGCUAGCUCGAACUGCCGCACGUCAUCCCUUGAACAGUCGGGCCUACUGUUCACUGAGCUGGCAGUCCCCUGGCCUCUGUCCGUCAGCGCGGCUCGUGGGCUCCUCUCUUCCAGAAACAUGACAAGGUACCAUGAGGGCGUCGAGACCAGGCAGAACGCCGCUCAUGGUUUCACUGUGCCUGCUCUUCUGCCCCAUCAGGAACGCCGCUCACACACUCACUAAGGAACUGAUACCUAGUUGAGUAUCAGCGCCAGUCUGUCGCCGGCCUGUGCUAGUCUCUUCUCCACAACCGGGUACCAGAGCCAAAUCCUAGCGCGCCCAGCCGCUGCUCGUGAACCCCGCCUCCAUCAGCUCCACUUCACCAAAGCCGUCAGUCCACGGGAAUAGGGGUAGCGGAUCCCCUAUAGCGGCCAAAUCCCGGUGCACCCAGCCGCUGCUCAUGAACCCCGCCUCCAUCAGCUCCACUUCACCGGAGCCGUCAGUCCACAGGAGUAGGGGUAGCAGGUUCACCUGACGUCCGACGCCUUCUUCCAUCUCCAAAAAUCUUGUUUUUUGAGUUUAGUUCUUCGUCACAUGUUUCACUAGCUGAAAAAUGCAUGGUGUUCUGAAAUUGCUUGCGGACCACUAGCUGAAAUUGCUUGACGAAUAGAGCAAAGGGCCCAAACCCACUGUCAUGCAAGAAAAAGAAAGCAAAGCCCCAACCAUCAGCUGCUCAAUCAUCAGAACUGAUAGUAAGAUGGAGAAGAGGUAAUGCAACAAAAAUCUUGGAUAGGGCAGUGAAGUCCAUUGCGCAUUCUUGUUUUUUGAAGCUCCGGACAUCAGUUGUAUUGAGACAUGGAUGGCUCUACACCUGAAGCACAUAUUUGACAAGCAUGAUCACAUGUUCCCUUCACGGUCUGAUGGCCGAUGGAGAGGCGAAGCGAAAGACGGUUAAGAAGUGCAAGAGAAGUGGCAAAGAUAGCAGGUCCAUGUGUAUUUAACAGCAAGUCCAUGUAUUACUACAUGAGAAGUACUGCUAUUCCCUCACUGGAUUUGCAGGCUCACGACCAUCCUCUAACACCCCGUCAGUGCCACUGAUUAGAAGGAGCUCCGUGAGCAUGUACUUCUCCUGUUCGACCUCGACGCUUGUGGCAGUCCCACAAGGACGAGUGUGGUCUAUGAUCAAGCUGUUGGUUCCCAAGCAAGUUCCUGGCUGAAGGUGGGCUUCCACGUUGAGGUGUGGAACGCAAUGUACAUGGAGAUCCCGAUGGAGUACGAUGAUGGCAAUGUGGCGCAGGUGGACCUCAUGGAGUUUGGCUGGGCUGGCGGCGGUCGGCGCUGGACGCAGGUGCAUGAGUUGUGGGGCUCCAUCUGCCGGUCGACCACCGCUUACUCCCACUCUGUUCACUGGUUUUGUUUUCACUGUCACGCCUAUUCCUCGUCGACCUGCAGCAGCAGGAGACACGAGAUCACCUCCGGCACCGCUGGUCACAUGAAGGUCGUCAAAAAUGGUACAUUCUCCAUAAAACACGAGAGAGGUUUGGACGGACGCUGUCACUAGCUCACUAUGACGCCGCGGAUCACUAGCACGAAGGACACCGCCAGGUUGAGGAUGAAGUACAUGAGGCAGACAAUGAGGACGUCCAAAACAUGGAAUCCAUACACAUAGCACUAACU
Long non-coding RNA from Triticum dicoccoides, 1906 nucleotides. RefSeq lists it as uncharacterized. The transcript is spliced from 9 exons. The record is from RefSeq and is a predicted model, not a curated record. Lineage: Eukaryota; Viridiplantae; Streptophyta; Magnoliopsida; Poales; Poaceae.